GACGAACGCUGGCGGCGUGCUUAACACAUGCAAGUCGAGCGGAGCGGCGAACUGGUGAGUAACGCGUGAGUAACUACCCCCCUCUCUGGGAUAACAAUUGGAAACGGCUGCUAAUACCGGAUAGUGGGGGAUGACUCGCGUCCUAUCCGCUUGGUGGUGGGGUAGGGGCCUACAAAGGCGAUGACCGGUGGCCGGCCUGAGAGGGCGACCGGCCACAUUGGGCUGAGAGACGGCACAAGCCCGUACGGGAGGAAGCAGUGGGGAAUAAUGCACAAUGGGGGAAAGCGUGAUGCAGCAACGCCGCGUGCGGGAUGACGUCCUUCGGGUUGUAAACCGCUUUCAGCCAUGACGCGGAAGUGGAAGAAGAAGCACCGGCUAACUACGUGCCAGCAGCCGCGGUAAUAG
Molecule: ribosomal RNA, 405 nt
Filed under: uncultured bacterium
Lineage: Bacteria
Description: partial 16S ribosomal RNA
Rfam family: Bacterial small subunit ribosomal RNA
Source: RNAcentral